Molecule: ribosomal RNA, 421 nt
Filed under: uncultured bacterium
Lineage: Bacteria
Description: bacterial SSU rRNA
Rfam family: Bacterial small subunit ribosomal RNA
Source: RNAcentral
UGGGGAAUAUUGCACAAUGGGCGGAAGCCUGAUGCAGCGACGCCGCGUGGGGGAUGACGGCCUUCGGGUUGUAAACUCCUUUCGCCAAAGACGAAUUUGACGGUAUUUGGAGAAGAAGCACCGGCUAACUACGUGCCAGCAGCCGCGGUAAUACGUAGGGUGCGAGCGUUGUCCGGAAUUACUGGGCGUAAAGAGCUCGUAGGUGGUUUGUCGCGUCGUUUGUGGAAGUCCACGGCUUAACUGUGGGACUGCAGGCGAUACGGGCAUAACUUGAGUGCUGUAGGGGAGACUGGAAUUCCUGGUGUAGCGGUGAAAUGCGCAGAUAUCAGGAGGAACACCGAUGGCGAAGGCAGGUCUCUGGGCAGUAACUGACGCUGAGGAGCGAAAGCAUGGGGAGCGAACAGGAUUAGAUACCCUGGUA